UAACUACUCUCAGAGAAGAAAUUAAAAAAUUUAAAACCAAAUUCAUCAUCUCCUUCGUCAAAUCGAUUAUCAUCGUAAAAAAAAAAGGGAAAGAGAAACCUAGAAAAAAUACGAAUUGUUCUUCUGAUUUAGAAGAAUAAGAGACAUCGAAGAAAGUACUGCAUGCAAAAAAAAGGAGCAUCAAAAUCUGGAGAAUCAAAACCUAACAACAACAAACGUAUAAGAAUGGACCAAGAAAUUGAAUCCGAUGAAGAACAAACUGAUUUGUCUGAAUCAAAUGAAGCACAAAUUGAAUCAUAUGAAAGAGGAGCCGUUAAUAUGAAGAAAUUUGGUAAACGUAGCAAGAAACAUAUUGAUUCUGAUGACGAAGAAGAAGCAUAUGAAACAAGCUCAAAAAGUAGAAGUCUAAGAAAAGUACUGGCAAAAAAAAAUUAAGAAAUCGAUUUGGUUGCUGGAUCAUCUAAGAAAGGUAUUUCCUGGCAGGCGAUAUAAACAAAAAGCAAUCUUUCUUAUAUGCAACUGAGCAGGCUUCGCUCGACUCUCUGACUGGAGCCAUUAACAUGAAGAAAUCUGGUAAGCGUAAUAACAAACAAAUUGAAUCUGAUAAGGAAGAAGGUACUAAAUGUUAGGUGCUUUAAUUAAUGUUAGGUGCUCUAUCAGUUGUUACUUCAUUAGAGUGACACGUUAAAAAGUCGUAUUUUGUUUCUGUACAAGCAUAUGAAGCAAGUCUGAAAAAUAAGAAGUUUAAGAAAGGUGGUGUUGGACCAAACACUUAAUUCCCACUAAGAUAAAUAUCCCAAUUGUUGAGAUGAAUCAAACUCAUAAUAGAUCAAUUUAUAAUCAGGUCAUGAAGAAAUUUCUGGCAUUAAAUUUGAACCUUGUACCAUCUCAUAGAUCAUUGGUUUGUUUCUUUGUUGUAUUUGUGUUUUGAUAUAUGUAAAUAGAGAAACUAGUGUGGAUAUAUCCUACACAAAAAUGGGUGUUUGUGGAUAUAAACAUCAAAAGUGUGUAUAUAUCCUACACAAUGGUGUUUGUGGGUAUAUCCUACACAAAAAUGAAAACCUAUGAAGAAGGUGUUAAAUAUUUCUAGCCUGCUGAGGUAAACAGAUAGUAAUUGUUAAAUUUCUCUCUGCUAUUUCUUAUGUACCCUUGAAAUUUGGGUUUUUAGGUGUUUCGUUAUUAAUAUCACUGAAUUUCUUUUGUUGGUUUAUGUUUUGGUUGAAUUAAGUGAAAGUGUUGGACAAAAUCGAGCCUCAUUGGAUGGAAGGUGGUAUAUGCAAGGUUGGAGAUGAUCUACAUCUUUGGCCUGGUGUUAUACUUUCUCCGCACAAGGAGAUUAUAGAGUUGUCGCUGAGUUUGAAAGCGUUAAACAAAAUCAAGCCUCAUUGGAUGGAAGGUGGUAUAUGCAUAGGUUGGAGAUGAUCUACAUCCUUGGCCUGGUGUUAUACUUUCUCCACACAAGCAGACUAUAGAGUUGUCGCUGAGUUGUAAGUAUAAUUUUACAUGUAUAAGUUUUUUGUCCAACACAAAGAUACCAUGCAAACAGCAUUGAAACACGCAGUUUCAUUACCAAUAUCAAAUAUGACCUCUAGUGUGAAGAAGAUCAUGAUAUCCUUGUGCCAUGAAGAGGGAAACAAUAGCUUUCAAGUUACUCACUGCAACCACCCCUGCAGAAAGUUGAAAAGAAGAAAAUUGCAUGGAAUAACUGCAACAACAUCUUUCAAGUUACUCACUUAUUUUCAGAUUGUUACUAUAUAUAUCUUAA
Long non-coding RNA from Papaver somniferum (opium poppy), 1765 nucleotides. RefSeq lists it as uncharacterized. The record is from RefSeq and is a predicted model, not a curated record. NCBI's taxonomy places the organism in Eukaryota, Viridiplantae, Streptophyta, Magnoliopsida, Ranunculales, Papaveraceae. The transcript has 7 exons.